This 426-nucleotide ribosomal RNA is filed under the name uncultured bacterium. RNAcentral describes it as "bacterial SSU rRNA". It matches the Rfam family "Bacterial small subunit ribosomal RNA", at positions 355 to 772 of the family's 1533-position model. The record is from RNAcentral.
UCGAGGAUCUUCCGCAAUGCGCGCAAGCGUGACGGAGCGACGCCGCGUGGGUGAUGAAGGCCUUCGGGUCGUAAAACCCUGUUAGCUACAGUGAAUUGCGGGUGGUGAAUAGCCAUCCCGCUUGACGUAAGUAGCAAAGAAAGCACCGGCUAACUACGUGCCAGCAGCCGCGGUAAGACGGAGGGCGCAAGCGUUGUUCGGAAUUACUGGGCGUAAAGCGCGGGCAGGCGGUCUGUUAAGUCGUUUGUGAAAAUCCGGGGCUCAACCCCGGAAAUGCAUACGAUACUGGCAGGCUGGAGACUGGUAGAGGCUAGCGGAAUUCCUGGUGUAGCGGUGGAAUGCGUAGAUACUGGGAGGAACACCGGUGGCGAAGGCGGCUACCUGGACCGGUUCUGACGCUGAUGCGACGAAAGCGUGGGGAGCAAA